AGCAGCCGCGGUAAUUCCAGCUCCAAUAGCGUAUAUUAAAGUUGUUGCAGUUAAAAAGCUCGUAGUUGAAUUUCGGGGUUAGUAGGCUGGUCGUGCCACAGGUAUGUACUGGUCUUACUGAUUCCUCCUUCCUGAUGAACCGUAAUGUCAUUAAUUUGGUGUUGCGGGAAAUCAGGACUGUUACUUUGAAAAAAUUAGAGUGUUUAAAGCGGGCACGCGCUUGAAUACAUUAGCAUGGAAUAACGAAAUAGGACGUUCGAUCUUAUUUUGUUGGUUUCUAGGAUUGACGUAAUGAUUAAUAGGGAUAGUUGGGGGCAUUAGUAUUCAAUUGUCAGAGGUGAAAUUCUUGGAUUUAUUGAAGACUAACUACUGCGAAAGCAUUUGCCAAGGAUGUUUUCAUUAAUCAAGAACGAAAGUUAGGGGAUCGAAGACGAUCAGAUACCGUCGUAGUCUUAACCAUAAACUAUGCCGACUAGGGAUCGGAUGAUGUUAAUUUUUUAAUGACUCA
This 508-nucleotide ribosomal RNA is filed under the name uncultured Glomus. RNAcentral's name for it is "SSU rRNA". It matches the Rfam family "Eukaryotic small subunit ribosomal RNA", at positions 569 to 1078 of the family's 1831-position model. The record is from RNAcentral. Lineage: Eukaryota; Fungi; Glomeromycota; Glomeromycetes; Glomerales; Glomeraceae.